Molecule: long non-coding RNA, 383 nt
Filed under: Capsicum annuum
Lineage: Eukaryota; Viridiplantae; Streptophyta; Magnoliopsida; Solanales; Solanaceae
Description: long non-coding RNA (CANN_LNC012453)
Source: RNAcentral
AAAACCAUCCAACGCUAGCCUCUCACACCUACGAACCGGGGCAUCGAUGCCCCUCCUCUUCACGUGUCUGAACCAUCUCAAUCGGGCUUCCCGCAUCUUGCACUCCACUGGAGUCACACCAACCUUCUCCCGGAUAGUCUCAUUCCGAACUCUAUCCCUUCUAGUCAGCCCACACAUCCAGCGCAACAUCCGCAUUUCUGCCACCUUCAUUUUUUGGAUGUGGGAGUUCUUAACUGGCCAACACUCCGCUCCAUACAACAUGGACGGACGGACUACCACCCUGUAGAAUUUGCCUUUCAGCUUGGACGGCACCUUCUUAUCACACAACACCCCCGACGCGAGCUUCCACUUCAUCCAUCCUGUCCCAAUACGGUGCGAGACAU